RNAcentral lists this long non-coding RNA (374 nucleotides) under Olea europaea (common olive). RNAcentral's name for it is "long non-coding RNA (OEUR_LNC013961)". The record is from RNAcentral. Lineage: Eukaryota; Viridiplantae; Streptophyta; Magnoliopsida; Lamiales; Oleaceae.
UCCCUUACUCAAUUCCUUCCUUCGUUAGGAAUGGCGGGACGGAAAAGAAAACAUCCUUAAUCCGUACCAAAUCAAAAGUGAAAGGAGCCCGCUUACCCACUCCCCUUUCCUCCCAUUGCUAGGAGCCCCGCCCUCUUGACUUGAUAUGUUAAGAAGACUACAACCGAGAUUUUCUUUUUUCUUGAUUAAAAAGGUUAUAACUCACCUAACUCUUCAUUUCCUUUUAGGAAGCAAUGAAACUUCAUCAUUUCCCAUGAUAUGAGAUAAAAAACAGAAUUUAGAUAGACUUAGAUCUAGUAUCUCUUCUAGAUCUAUAUAUACUAAAGUCUUUAGUAAAAGAAAAAAAAUGAAUAAAUUAGUUAAAGUAAAAAAAA